This is a long non-coding RNA of Gallus gallus (chicken), 5499 nucleotides long. RefSeq lists it as uncharacterized. The transcript is spliced from 2 exons. Lineage: Eukaryota; Metazoa; Chordata; Aves; Galliformes; Phasianidae. The record is from RefSeq and is a predicted model, not a curated record.
UCGCUUGCUGCCAGGAGAGGAGUGGGUGUGCUUUCCAAGCCGGGCGCCUUCAUCAACGAGACAGUGGGACUGAUGGAACAUAAGAUGGACCUGCACCAAACAACUGCAUGUCUCAUGCCUCCAGUAACACCACCGAGCACUGGCCCAUGAGAGAACAUGAACUUCAACCACAAACCAAUCAUCAAUUGUCUUAGAUUGUGUCAACCUGCAUUGCAAUGGGCAAUUGUAUAAGCAUCGCAGUGUGUUGGAUCCCUGUAUUACGGAAGGCUAACCCUCCAGCUGGCUCAGUCAUUGGUUCACACCAUGAAGGGAUGGAGUGUAUGAGAACUGUUGAGUCAUGGCCUGAACAACUGAUGGAGCAACUGGGGAAAGGACCUGGUCAGUCCUGAGAGCACAGGGGAAGGCAAUUCAUCUGUGUGAGUGGACGGGGUGGUGCCUGGCUGCUUCUCUCUUAGACCUCAUUUAAGGGCUGAGUGCCACUGGGGAAGGAUCUCUUUCUGGAGAUCCCUCCUUGGUGAAGCUUCCCCCUGUCAACCUAGAAUCUUCUAAUAUGGGUGAGCAAUCUUCUUCCCUUCCAGUGUAGCACCUCUCUAUUGUGUCAGUCCUUCCAUCAUCACACCUUUGUUGUAACACCUUUCCCACUGUAUUGAUCUAAUUGCUACAGUAAGGAAGGAGGAAAAAUUCUCAGGCAUCUUCCAUUAUGUUAAUGGUUUGCUACUGAAGUUGUAAUGGAUGUGUACAUCCAACAGAAAUCUCCAAACUCUAUCCUUAAACCAGUAUUACUGUUACAGUUCAGAUCACAAUAACAAAAAUGAACCACCAGUGAGGAAAAACAACCACAGUGAGAAAGAACAACUUGCUUAAACUCAUUUCACUGAAUAAAUAAAAUCCUGAGGUCCAGUAAUUUUAGCAGUAGCAGGGCUUCAAGUGGCACUUAAAAAGGCAUUUCUUAAACAAUACGUAAUUUGUAUUUUCUUGGUUUCCAAAAUAACUUAAGAUUCUUUAUCUUGUUUUUUUUUUUUUUUUUAAAUCGCUGCAACAUUCAGGUGGAAAAAUAUGUGAUUUCUAAUGGUCAGGCUCCAUUUACACUUCAUAGCAGUGUGUAAUGGUUCUUUUUGACCACCUUGAGGCUGGAAAACAUUUCUAUAUCACUAUCUCCAGAUCUAGAGUUCUUCAUGCUUAAAAACUGCUGAUUCAUAACAGAUAUUCCUCUUCCUUUUUCACUACAAGUUACUUUCUGAGCACGUCCAACUCCAUGAAAGAGACAAGAGGAUCCUCCCCAUAAAGUGAUUAAAAGAUUUAUUUCAGUAUGUGAAAGUCUGAGUUAAAAAAAAAAAAAGCUUCACAGCAGGACAAAACAUGGGCUUUACAAGCCUACCAGUAGGACAGUAUUGCACUGCAAACUGCAGAGCAAUUGGUUCUCAGUCUUUCUUUAUGAAGCUUUUUUUUUUUUUAGCAUAGAAAAGUAUCCUUCAUUUGUUUGAGAGAGAUUCUUAGGACUUAUGUGGUAUAAAGAUAAAAUGUACUGAGGUCUAUGAGAAAAUUAGUUUCUUCAAAGUAGAGCAGUUUCACCAGGGAAGCUUAGGAGAGCUGUGAGAGACAGCACUUCCCAGGAGCACUGAAAAAGGAUUUGCACCCAGUUCAUUCACUCUGCUAGCCUUUCUGCAUUAUUUAGCUGCUCUGCCAUUUCUGCGUGCAUUAAGAAACCCCAUUUUUAGGUGAAUGUUAAGAUCCAAGAAUUGAUGACAGAAUUUAUAAAUUUGUCACAGAAUUAUUAAUUCUUCUAGUUGUCUGGAAAAGAAAAGUUAGUACUAACCCAUGUAAUUCCUACAACACAAAUCCACCUGAGAACCUACCCUCUAUGUCUCAGUUAUGUGAUGCCUGAGGACAGUCAGAAGUCAAGUUAUUCUACAGAAUAGGACAUCAUCAUAAUAACAGUAAUUUUUUGUCCACAGAAAUUGCCAUUAAUAGAGAAAGGAAGAAAAUUAAUGUCUAAUUGCAGGUUGUCAGAACCAAGCAAUUUUCACCGGUGAGUAUGAUUGGGAACAGCACUACCAAGGUGAUCCCACUUCUAAAAACAUGACUUAUUAUCUCCUUUUUCUAACUUCGAAAACACUGAAAAGCCUUUACCUUUUUAAUAGAGCACAGCUUUUCAGAAGCAUGGAGUACAUAUUUGUCUGGAGUAUUUCUAGAUUAGAUUUCAGGACAGUCAUAAAUCUGUAUUAGGAAAUAACUAGGCAAGCAGCUACAGUAUGAUUGCAUGGAAUGCUCCAGAGCAAUUAGCAGAUUGAGCAGCAAUUUUUUUAGAAGGCUAAAAUCUAGUCUAAUCAAACAUAUUUCAACUGAACUUCCUGGAGGAAAGGACAGUCUGUUUUUAUACUGGAGUCUGAAAUAAUUUCAGCUUGGAGUUUGUCAAAGGUAAUUUUUUUUCCUCCUGUAAUUUGGACAAGACCACUUCUGCAGCUGUAGGCAGUUUGUGGGCACUUUUCAAAGAACACCAAAAACAAUCCAAAACAUGUAAAUUCAUAUUAUGAAAAUGCUUAUACUUAAAAUGAUGCUAAAUAACUUAAACAGGUAUUUCUAUAGAAGGGGAUUGCCAGAAAAGGAAGAACUAAAGCAAUACUUCUAGUAACUCAAUGAAAAGCACAGCAGUGACUGCAGAGUAGCAAAGUCCUAGGCUGUAGCAAAUGAGGUCUAGCCCAAAAACUGUGGGCAAAGAUACAAAGAAUCUGCUUACCUUCCCAGUCUCAGGUAUGCAGGGAUCUCCAGCAAAAUACCUUCACCUCCACCACCAGCCCUUAAAUGAGGUCUGGGAAGGGGUGGAUCCAGGCUCCAGUCCUUCCAGUCACUCAGGUGCAUUGCAUGCAGCUGAGCUCCCCUGGGUUGGCCCUGCCUUCCACCAGGUGCUGAAUCACUGGUUCAAGUCAUGACUCAGCAAUUCCACUACAUCUGUGUAUGUGCUGCUUGCUAUCUGAGAGGAAAAGAAAAAAAAACCAAAAGAAAAAAAGAAAAAAGAAAAAAAAAAAAAAAAACGGCCACUCUAACUUCUGUUUACAGUUCCAUCUGGAUAAUCUGACAAAAUCUCAGCAGCAAAACCCCACUCCCCUCUUGGAAGGUAAGAGGGCUACAAAGGGCAAUGGUGCCAAGCACCCAUAGUUGAAUAUCUUUCCGUUGCCUUGCAGGGCAGUAAAGGUCUGACUUAUUGCUUUCUCACACUCUGUGUGGAGUUGCCUCUUGGGGACUCUGCCUUUGAGUCUUGCUUUUUCCUUGCAUCUACAGUGCCUUAUUUCUCAAGAACACUUUCCAUCAGCUAAGUAUUUUAGAAAGCAUUAAGCAGUACGCCUGGUUUUGGAGCACAUACCCACUUACUUCAGCAAUGAUUUUCCCUUCUCUUUGGUUUUGUAGAUGAGAUUAGGAUAUUUCUAUCUGCGCCAAGUUUGUUAACAACCUACUGCUGUGAACGGUUUUGCCCUUCACGCACCCGAAGCCUUUUAGAAUGGCGCCAGCCUUCCGGCCUUGAGGCAGCCCCUAGCCCAACGGCCUCGUCUCGCCCGCGGGCAAGGAACGCGCUGCGCCCGCCGCGUGCUGCCAGCGCCCCCUGCCGGCACGUUCGUGCUGCGCAACGGAAAGCAGCGCAUCGGUGCCUGAGCCUCACUCGUAGCCUUUGGAAAUCUCCCUCAAUGGGAUAUCUUCUACCUAAAAAAUCACACAAUGAAAUUGAGAUGUAAAGGUUUGAGUUCUCUCAAAACUGCUUUCACUUAUAUGAAGAACAUAACAAAUUUCCCAAAAUGUUUAAUGUCUGUACUUGCAGUACAGCAGGAGGAAAAAACAAAAAGAAAACCAAACUUGUCUAAUGCCCAAAAAUGACAUCUGUGAGGGGAAAAAAACACAACAAAACUGUACUAAAAAGGAUGAAAAGAACAUCUAGUAUAAUUUAUCUUCACAAAUGCCCUUAAUAGACUAAAUUUGCAACAUAAAACUGCUUUUCUACCCAAUUUGAAUAAUAAAGAAAUUGUUAUUGAUAUUACUGCUAAACUAGCUUUGUGCAGUGUAGUAAAUCAUACUUGUGCUACGCUAAACAGAUGGAUGCAUUUUUACUGCCCAUUACAGACUGCAUAGGUUAGCCAUCACAGAAAGUCUUAUCAGCACAUUUCUCCCUGUCAUGUAACCUCCAUCUAAGGGCACUACUAAAAUCAAUAGCUGAGAUUUAAAAGGUUCAUAAGGAAAUCUGAUCACCAUAAUGCUGAUUUGUCACACAGCCAAUGUCACAUAGCCCUUUCCACAGAUCAGAUACUGGUGCUGCAGGCCGAGAAUAGCAGUCUGAAUUCAAGCAUCACCCAUCUUCCCAGAACAGCAUCUGAAAUUUCACUUGAGGCUCAUAGCAGAGCCAACUAAAUUAACAUUUUCACCAUUAUUGACACUACAAGAUUUAUUACUCCCUGUUCAAUUUUAAAAGUUUCCCUGGGGAAAUUUUUAAGGGGUGCUUGCUUUAUUGGUUGUUAUUGAGUUGGACCAUUUGACAGCUGGUGUGGAAUGUCUGAAUAACAAAAUCCUUGCUUGGAAGAAAUCAAGAGACCUCUGGUGACUGAUAUGGAGGAUAUUGAUUUGAUUUUAGCAUGAUGCAUUUAGUUUCCAUUGUUAAAAUAAUAUAACAAUUUAUAGAAUUAAUUAAUAGAAUGAAUAGUAACCAUAUGAAGUGUAUACACAGAGGAGCCUGUCUAGGGCUGCUGCUAAAGCUUCUUGUCUCAUAGAGUUCAGCUCUUGAUCCCCUAGUAAGCAAUAUGUUUCGGUAAGAUUGCUACGAGAGCUGGAUUGUUAUGGGGAGGAAGCACAAGGGCUGAACCCUGGAAUUUCUAAAUUUGAUAUUCCUAGAACCACUCCAGUAAUGCAUUACUGUGGAUGUAAGGUAAGAAGAGAAUGAAAGACAGGAAAGAAAGAUUUCUGUCAUCUUAGAGCUCAGGAAUUAUUUUUUUCCAGCAAAAAGUAUUAAGAAAUCAUGAAACAUGCUUGUAUAAUCAGACUAUUGGAACAACAGAAAUACAGGUGAAUUAUAGUCAUGCAGUCUAAGUAGUAUUCUUGGUAUUAAAAUAUAAAACAUAUAGCAAGACAUAAAACACUGAUAAAAAUGGAAAUAUUAUUUCCUGAGUGAUUACGAGGAAAACAGAGGUCUAGUAAAGUGGAGAAAGGAGAGAUCAAGAGUGCAAUGAAUUCAUCAAGACAUACAAAUGUUUAUAGAAACAUAUGCAAAGACAUUUGCUUCUUCUACCUUGCUGAUGAAAAGUACUUUCAGAUAAGCACAAGUGCAUCAAGUUUAUCUGCUACCAACAUUGUUUACUAGUUGCCAUAAUUAGUAAGUCUUUAAUUUUAGAUUUAGUCAUUACAGUCAUAAAUUUUACCACUGCUAUCAAAAUGGCUCUCAAUCUCCACUGAAAGGAUUGGUGAAUAUUUUACGCCAAGAACCAAAAAAAAAAAAAAAAAAAAGUCUACAAAACCAAGAAA